UACGUAGGUGGCAAGCGUUAUCCGGAAUUAUUGGGCGUAAAGAGCGCGCAGGUGGUUGAUUAAGUCUGAUGUGAAAGCCCACGGCUUAACCGUGGAGGGUCAUUGGAAACUGGUCAACUUGAGUGCAGAAGAGGGAAGUGGAAUUCCAUGUGUAGCGGUGAAAUGCGUAGAGAUAUGGAGGAACACCAGUGGCGAAGGCGGCUUCCUGGUCUGUAACAGACACUGAGGCGCGAAAGCGUGGGGAGCAAACAGGAUUAGAUA
RNAcentral lists this ribosomal RNA (261 nucleotides) under uncultured prokaryote. RNAcentral describes it as "partial 16S ribosomal RNA". It matches the Rfam family "Bacterial small subunit ribosomal RNA", at positions 524 to 784 of the family's 1533-position model. The record is from RNAcentral.